RNAcentral lists this ribosomal RNA (474 nucleotides) under uncultured bacterium. RNAcentral's name for it is "bacterial SSU rRNA". It matches the Rfam family "Bacterial small subunit ribosomal RNA", at positions 32 to 480 of the family's 1533-position model. The record is from RNAcentral.
AAUCAACGCUGGCGGCGUGCCUCAGACAUGCAAGUCGAACGCGAAAGUCCCCUUCGGGGGACAAGUAGAGUGGCGCACGGGUGAGUAACACGUAGGUAAUCUACCUUUGGAUGGGGAAUAACAACCGGAAACGGUUGCUAAUACCGCAUAAUGCAGCGGCACCUAAUGGUGACAGUUGUUAAGGCGGGGGAUCGAAAGACCUCGCGUCUGAAGAGGAGCCUGCGGCGGAUUAGCUAGUGGUAAGGUAAUGGCUUACCAAGGCUACGAUCCGUAACCGGCCUGAGAGGGCGGUCGGUCACACUGACACUGACAUACGGGUCAGACUCCUACGGGAGGCAGCAGUCGGGAAUUUUGGGCAAUGGGCGAAAGCCUGACCCAGCAACGCCGCGUGAAGGAUGAAAUCCCUCGGGAUGUAAACUUCGCAAGAACGGGAAGAAUAAGCGAGAGUUAAUAUCUUUCGUGAUGACGGUACCG